Molecule: ribosomal RNA, 476 nt
Filed under: uncultured bacterium
Lineage: Bacteria
Description: bacterial SSU rRNA
Rfam family: Bacterial small subunit ribosomal RNA
Source: RNAcentral
ACCUCCUACGGGGAGGGCAGCAGUGGGGAAUAUUGGACAAUGGGGGAAACCCGUAGCAUCCAGCCAUGCCGCGUGUGUGAAGAAGGCCUUCGGGUUGUAAAGCACUUUCAGUGGGGAGGAAAGGUUGAUGGUUAAUACCCAUCAGCUGUGACGUUACCCACAGAAGAAGCACCGGCUAACUCCGUGCCAGCAGCCGCGGUAAUACGGAGGGUGCAAGCGUUAAUCGGAAUUACUGGGCGUAAAGCGCAUGCAGGUGGUUUGUUAAGUCAGCUGUGAAAGCCCGGCUCAACCUGGGAAUUGCAGUUGAUACUGGCCGACUAGAGUAUGAAAGAGGGAGGUAGAAUUCCAUGUGUAGCGGUGAAAUGCGUAGAUAUAUGGAGGAAUACCAGUGGCGAAGGCGGCCUCCUGGUUCAAUACUGACGCUGAGGUGCGAAAGCGUGGGGAUCAAACAGGAUUAGAUACCCUGGUAGGCUCUG